UAACGUAUUAAUAUUCGUAAGUAAAUGACUAAAUGAAAUGAAUAUGAUGACAUGAUAAUAGAUGAUGAAACAUGAUGUUAUUUCACUAACAUAUGAAGUGAAUAUAGAUAUUUACAUGCAUGAUAUUUAAAUUAUAUGAUCUGGACCGCUUCCUAUAGAUGAUGGCCAAUCCUCUAACGAGAGUGGUGAUGCGAUAUGAUUGUAGGGGUCACCUUGGCAAUGUACAGUCGUGAGUAUAAAUUACAUGUAAGGCUACUAUAGUUGACACGAUCGUCGUCAUAGAACGUGUCAUGAUUUGGCAAGCCGUAAAUGUGUUGUGGUUUAGCAAGCCGUAAAUGU
RNAcentral lists this long non-coding RNA (339 nucleotides) under Carica papaya (papaya). RNAcentral's name for it is "long non-coding RNA (CPAP_LNC011862)". The record is from RNAcentral. Lineage: Eukaryota; Viridiplantae; Streptophyta; Magnoliopsida; Brassicales; Caricaceae.